RNAcentral lists this ribosomal RNA (253 nucleotides) under uncultured bacterium. RNAcentral describes it as "partial 16S ribosomal RNA". It matches the Rfam family "Bacterial small subunit ribosomal RNA", at positions 524 to 776 of the family's 1533-position model. The record is from RNAcentral.
UACGUAGGGUGCAAGCGUUAAUCGGAAUUACUGGGCGUAAAGCGUGCGCAGGCGGUUUUGUAAGACAGGUGUGAAAUCCCCGGGCUCAACCUGGGAACUGCAUUUGUGACUGCAUAGCUAGAGUACGGUAGAGGGGGAUGGAAUUCCGCGUGUAGCAGUGAAAUGCGUAGAUAUGCGGAGGAACACCGAUGGCGAAGGCAAUCCCCUGGACCUGUACUGACGCUCAUGCACGAAAGCGUGGGGAGCAAACAGG